AGCGAACGCUGGCGGCGUGCCUAACACAUGCAAGUCGAACGUGAAAGGGAGCAAUCCCACGUAAAGUGGCGUACGGGUGAGUAACACGUAGGUAAUCUACCCCAGAAUCUGGAAUAACCGGCCGAAAGGCUGGCUAAUACUGGAUAGAGCGACGGAAUCCGUAAUUGGGUUUUUCGGGAAAGGGAGCCUGUAAAAAGGCCUUCGUUCUGGGAUGAGCCUGCGUCCCAUCAGCUAGUUGGUGAGGUAAAAGCUUACCAAGGCAAUGACGGGUAGCUGGUCUGAGAGGACGAUCAGCCACACUGGAACGGAAACACGGUCCAGAAUCCUACAGGAGGCAGCAGGGGGGAAUCUUGCGCAAUGGGCGAAAGUCGGGCGCAGCAAAGACGCGUGGGGGAAGAAGGCCUUCGGGUUGGAAAGCUCUGUCGAGUGGGACGAAAAUGCUUGGAGUUAACAGCUCCAGGAACUGACGGUACCACUAAAAGAAGCACCGGCUAACUCCGUG
This 502-nucleotide ribosomal RNA is filed under the name uncultured bacterium. RNAcentral describes it as "partial 16S ribosomal RNA". It matches the Rfam family "Bacterial small subunit ribosomal RNA", at positions 29 to 507 of the family's 1533-position model. The record is from RNAcentral.